This 450-nucleotide ribosomal RNA is filed under the name uncultured soil bacterium. Its description in RNAcentral is "bacterial SSU rRNA". It matches the Rfam family "Bacterial small subunit ribosomal RNA", at positions 26 to 486 of the family's 1533-position model. The record is from RNAcentral.
AGGACGAACGCUGGCGGCGUGCUUAACACAUGCAAGUCGAGCGGUAAGGCCUUUCGGGGUACACGGGCGGCGAACGGGUGAGUAACACGUGGGUGAUCUGCCCUGCACUCUGGGAUAAGCCUGGGAAACUGGGUCUAAUACCGGAUAUGACCUGCUCUCGCAUGGGGGGUGGGUGGAAAGAUUUAUCGGUGCAGGAUGGGCCCGCGGCCUAUCAGCUUGUUGGUGGGUGAUGGCCUACCAAGGCGACGACGGGUAGCCGACCUGAGAGGGUGACCGGCCACACUGGGACUGAGACACGGCCCAGACUCCGUACGGGAGGCAGCAGGUGGGAAUAUUGCACAAGUGGGCAAAGCCUGAUGCAGCGACGCCGCGUGAGGAUGAAGGCCGUUCGGGUUAGUAAACCUCUUUCAGCGAGGACGAAGCGACGAAGGUCGACGGUACCUCGACGAA